Molecule: ribosomal RNA, 300 nt
Filed under: uncultured Lactobacillus sp.
Lineage: Bacteria; Bacillati; Bacillota; Bacilli; Lactobacillales; Lactobacillaceae
Description: partial 16S ribosomal RNA
Rfam family: Bacterial small subunit ribosomal RNA (bases 52-300)
Source: RNAcentral
UGUACGUAGGGGGCGUCAGGUGCGUGAAGUGGUAAGUUCCAGGUGUGAUCCGGAUAUAUGGGGCUUAAAGCGUGCGCAGACGGUUAGUUAAGUCUGAAGUGAAAGGCCGCAGGUCAACUGAGUAAUUGCUUUGGAAACUGGAGGACUGGAGUGAAGGAGAGGAAAGGGGAACUCCAUGUGUAGCGGUGAAAUGCGUAGAUAUAUGGAAGAACACCAGGGGCGAAGGCGGCUUUCUGGACUGUAACUGACGUUGAGGCUCGAAAGUGUGGGUAGCAAACAGGAUUAGAUACCCCUGUAGUC